This is an RNA transcript of Zea mays, 3651 nucleotides long. RefSeq lists it as uncharacterized. The transcript has 3 exons. Lineage: Eukaryota; Viridiplantae; Streptophyta; Magnoliopsida; Poales; Poaceae. The record is from RefSeq and is a predicted model, not a curated record.
CUUCAAAAUGCCGAAAGGCAAGGCAAACGCAAAUGCCACAACCCACCUCUCGACUCGCCGCCGCAGCCGCAUGACACCCACCGUCGGCUGGCCAUCCCCUCGGGUCGCCACCCCCUUCGGCCGCUGCCUCACAGCUCGCUGCAUCGUCAGUCUCGGCCUCCACAACCACCAAGUCCUCCUAUCCCGCUUUGCCGCCGCCUUCAAUGCCCUCGCGUCCCCGUCCCGCAACGCCGCCGCCGCCAGCCGGCCAUCCGUUGCGCUCGCCACUCUCCUCGGGCGCUGCUGCACCGUGCGCUGCCUCGCCCAGCUCCACGCCCGCAUCAUCCUACUCGGUCUCCACAACCACCACGCCCUCCUCGCCCGCUUCACCACCGCCUGCGAUGCCCUCGAAUGCCCCUCCGUCGCCGCCUCUUUCAUCGCCGCGCUUACCGACUCCCACGCCGCCCCGCUCCGCCUCCGCAACGCCGUGCUCGCGUCCCUCGCCCGCCACGCCCCGCUCCACGCCGCGCUCACGGAGUUCAACCUCCUCCGACAGGCCGCGCUCCCGGACUCUUUUUCCUUCCCUUGCCUCCUCCGCGCGUGCGCCCGCGUAUCCUGCCUCCCCGCUGGACGAGCCCUGCACGCCGCCGCUAUCCGCCUUGGCGUGCACGCCGAUCUCUUCAUCCGCACUGCGCUCAUCCAGUUCUACGGCAGGUGCGGCGUGGCCGACGCGGCCCGGGCGCUAUUUUAUCAAAUCGACAUCCCCAGUGAGGUUUCCUGGACCGCCAUUAUCGUUGCCUACGUCAACAAUGGUGGCAUCAUAGACGCUAGAGCUCUGUUUGAUACAAUGCCUCAAAGGAACGUGGUGCACUGGAAUGUGAUGGUCGAUGGUUACGUAAAGUGUGGGGACUUGGAGGGCGCAAGGAGGCUGUUUGAUGAAAUGCCUGAGAGAACUGCUACAGCAUGCACAUCUUUGAUUGGUGGGUAUGCAAAGGCAGGGAACAUGGAAGCUGCGAGAUUGUUGUUUGAUAAGUUAGAGGACCGUGAUGUGUUCUCAUGGUCAGCGAUGAUAUCAGGUUAUGCACAGAAUGGUUACCCUGGCGAGGCUUUGAGGACUUUUGAUGAGUUCCAAGGGCAAGGCAUACACCCAGACGAACUUGUUGUGGUUGGCCUGAUGUCUGCAUGCUCCCAACUAGGUAACAUCAGGUUGGCAAGUUGGAUUGAAGAUUACAUCACAAAGUACUCUAUAGAUAUGAACAAUGCUCAUGUGUUGGCUGGUCUUGUGAACAUGAAUGCAAAGUGUGGGAACUUGGAGAGGGCUACUUUUUUGUUUGAGUCUAUGCCAGUUCGAGAUGUGUUUUCAUAUUGUUCACUGAUGCAAGGUUACUGCCUCCAUGGUUCAGCUGACAAGGCUGUUAAGCUUUUCUCUCGGAUGCUUUUGGAGGGACUCACCCCUGACAAUGCUGUGUUUACAAUUGUUUUAACAGCUUGCUGUCAUGCUGGUCUAGUAGAAGAAGGGAAGAAGUUCUUUGAUAUAAUGAAGAAUGUGUACUUGAUGGUGCCAUCUGGUGAGCAUUAUGCUUGCCUUGUCAAUCUUCUUGGACGUUGUGGUAUGCUAGAAGAUGCAUAUUGGCUUAUCAUGUCGAUGCCCGGGAAACCUCAUCCUGGAGCAUGGGGUGCACUGUUGGGUGGAUGCAAGCUUCACUGUAAUAUAGAGCUUGGAAAAAUUGCAGCAAAAAAACUUUUUGAAAUUGAACCGGAUAAUGCUGGAAAUUAUGUCUCCCUGUCAAAUAUGUAUGCUAACAUUGACAGGUGGGGAGAUGUUUCUGAAGUUAGGGCUGAGAUGACUGGAAAGAGAAUAACCAAAAUAGCAGGGCGUACCCUAGUUUUGCAGUGAAGCAGUGUUGACCAGAAUGGUGUAUUUAUCUUGUACCAUGUUACUGGCCCCCAUUGAAAACUUGAGGCUGUGAAUAAACGUAAAAUGAGAUAUCAUGCUCAAUGCAUAUGGUGGAAGUCAUCAUAUGGUGAUAUAGAUUUGGUGGUCAACAGGCUGAGUUCAUACACUGGAAACCUUUUUCUCAAAUACACAGGGGAGCUGCGUACCAUUGGAUUGAGAAGAACACCUAAGUACAAAAACAAAAAGACCACCACACCAACACAGCCGUACCAAAUACACACACAUACACUCAAACCCAACCUCAUAGGUGGCAUACAUCUGGACCGAGUUAAGACACUUCCAUUAGCUUAGAGUUCACAUUGCCAGACUCAGCUGGGUGGAUGCUUUGAUUUUUGGUAUUGUGAAAGAUCAGGGUGCUUCUGUACAAAUGUUGGAAUAUGGGCCUGAUUAAGACACAGAGUUUUGACAUUUGCUGUUAAGCGUCCUCUUUCCUUCUCAACGUCGGCCAGCUGUUUGGCGCGCUCCUGCGCACGGCACACGUCCCUGGCUCGGCGACGCCUGGUGUACGUGCGCCCGAACAUGACAGCACUCUAACAUGUUUGUGCCAGUGUGAUAACUGCAUGACUGAGAUAUUGAUAGGGCCUAAGCUUUUUCUUAAGCAGCUUUUGCUAGCUGCCUAGAGUCUAGAGAAGCAACUUGCUGCAGAAGUUGAUGAAAUGAAAACCUAUGUGUUUGGCAACCUGGCUUUUCUAUGUCUUUUUCAUGCGUGUCCUCCUUUGGGACCCUCGUGUCACAGCCUGUACCAGAGGACUGAAGGCGCCAUUCUCUCCAGAGCUGCAGAGGCAGCAUCCAAGCCUGGUUUCUCUUUUCUUGCCCUUCUACCACUGAUCCCUCUGAUCCAAUCUCACUGCGUGCUGCUGCCAGGUCAAAUCAAUGUCUACCUCGUGCCCUCUACCGCACACCUGAUCGUGCUUCCCUGGCCGCUGUCUCCCCUUCUUAGCCCCCAUGGAGGCAGAAAUUGGGCUGACACUGACAGGGCCUGCACCAGUCUAGAGGCUGCUCAGCUCCUGCCGCCACCAUGGAGGGGAUCUCAUCAAAGGAGAGCUGAGGGACACAGAAGGGGUAGUGGGCGGAGGUUGAGUGCGUAUGGAGGGAGGUGCAGCGAAGAAGCUGAGGCUGAGCCAUGGACAGAAAAAGCUGCUCGCUCAGUCACCCUGCGCUUUAGAGGAACAUGGUUUGUCAGUAGAAAUUGGAGACAUGCUGGGCCAUUGUCAAGUUCAUGGGUGAAGAAUUGAAAACUGUUAGUUCCUGUAAUCAUAGUGAGAUACAAAAUAAUGUUCACAAUCUUUUCUGAUUACUGUCACGUUUGAAAAAUCUGAAGGCACACCUAGUAUUGUUAUCUGUCAAGGCUAAGACCAAUGAUGUGGUAGUUUCAGGCUUUCAGUUCUGGAAAUAGGCUUGAAAAAUAUGAAUUGUUGAUUUACUCUAUGUCAUACUCAUAGAAGUGUAGUGCCUGUUUAGUUCAUAUACAGUUCUGUCAAAAGAUCUCGAUGUGCUCAGUUCAAACUCUUCAUAAGAUGAGCUCAUGCCCAGACCCAAGCUCAUGGGCCUCAUUAUAUUGAACUUUAUUUGUGUGGUUAAGGCUUGAUUCAGUCCUUAGUUUAACCCAAGACAUGAUGUAUCCAUCCCAAAAUUUUGAGCUGACAGCUAAGAACGAGAUCAUUCUGCUCAUCUUUGUCCAAAGCUUGUAUAUAAACAACUAUGUUGAAAUAUAA